Molecule: ribosomal RNA, 126 nt
Filed under: Coleofasciculus sp. C3-bin4
Lineage: Bacteria; Bacillati; Cyanobacteriota; Cyanophyceae; Coleofasciculales; Coleofasciculaceae
Description: partial 23S ribosomal RNA
Rfam family: Bacterial large subunit ribosomal RNA
Source: RNAcentral
CAAGAUGAGUGCUCUCAUGGCAAAAGCCAGUAAGGUCACAGGAAGAUUACCUGUUUGCUCGGCGCUAGGUGGAAGCUCAGUAAUGAGUGCAGCCGAGGCGUGCGAACCGACCGAGGGCUUGACCUC